This 453-nucleotide ribosomal RNA is filed under the name uncultured Barnesiella sp. RNAcentral describes it as "bacterial SSU rRNA". It matches the Rfam family "Bacterial small subunit ribosomal RNA", at positions 341 to 792 of the family's 1533-position model. The record is from RNAcentral. Lineage: Bacteria; Pseudomonadati; Bacteroidota; Bacteroidia; Bacteroidales; Barnesiellaceae.
ACGGAAGGCAGCAGUGAGGAAUAUUGGUCAAUGGGCGCAGGCCUGAACCAGCCAAGUCGCGUGAGGGAUGACGGUCCUACGGAUUGUAAACCUCUUUUGCCGGGGAGUAAUGUGCGGGACGAGUCCCGUAUUGAGAGUACCCGGAGAAAAAGCAUCGGCUAACUCCGUGCCAGCAGCCGCGGUAAUACGGAGGAUGCGAGCGUUAUCCGGAUUUAUUGGGUUUAAAGGGUGCGCAGGCGGCGCGUCAAGUCAGCGGUCAAAUCCCGGGGCUCAACCUCGGUUCGCCGUUGAAACUGCCGUGCUCGAGUUCGUGCGAGGAGAGCGGAAUGCGUGGUGUAGCGGUGAAAUGCAUAGAUAUCACGCAGAACGCCGAUUGCGAAGGCAGCCCUCCAGCACUGGACUGACGCUGAGGCACGAAAGCGUGGGUAUCGAACAGGAUUAGAUACCCUGGUA